UACAGAGGUCUCAAGCGUUGUUCGGAUUCAUUGGGCGUAAAGGGUGCGUAGGCGGCGCGGUAAGUCGGGUGUGAAAUCUCGGAGCUUAACUCCGAAACUGCAUUCGAUACUGCCUUGCUUGAGGACUGGAGAGGAGACUGGAAUUUACGGUGUAGCAGUGAAAUGCGUAGAUAUCGUAAGGAAGGCCAGUGGCGAAGGCGGCUUCCUGG
This 209-nucleotide ribosomal RNA is filed under the name uncultured bacterium. Its description in RNAcentral is "partial 16S ribosomal RNA". It matches the Rfam family "Bacterial small subunit ribosomal RNA", at positions 524 to 732 of the family's 1533-position model. The record is from RNAcentral.